Micropterus salmoides (largemouth bass) is the source of this 1378-nucleotide non-coding RNA. The record is from the annotation of a RefSeq genome assembly. Lineage: Eukaryota; Metazoa; Chordata; Actinopteri; Centrarchiformes; Centrarchidae.
UUUCAUAAUUAUAUUAUAAGAAUCCAGCAUAUGUAGAACUGCUAAAUAAGUAAAAUUCUUUUCUUUCCUCAUAUAACAUAUUAAUAUUAUUAUUAUUAUACAUGACGUGUGUGAUAUGAAGGUGAAUCCAGUCCAUGUAGUGAACUGUGUGCUGUAUUGAUGAGGAGCUCAGUGAUCAGAGUCCAUGUAGUUUCCAGGAUCAGACUGAAUGCAGUGCUGGAAGCUGCUGUUGACUGUGUGAAUGUGUGUCUGUGCUGCUUGUUGCUGCUGUCAAACUUCAGAUAAGCCGGUAGUGAAGCCCGUGGUGAGCGUGUACCCAGCAGCAUCCAGAGCCCACCAUGAGGGGAAGAGCUCCCUGCUGUGUGUGGCCUCAAACAUGUUUCCUCCUGUGGUCCGCUUCUCCUGGAAAAGACGAAAGGUGAACGAGUCUCUGGAGGAGCAGGCACCUGCUGAGGAGGUGCAGCUGGAGCUCAGAGAUUCGGGACGCACCGCCGCCAUCAGAGUGAUUGAUCGGGACGCUCUCUACACGUAUAAAUACCGCUGCUACGUCCAGCACGAGGGGGGGGUAGUGAAGGCCCAAACAGAACAAGAGGUUCCGGUGGCCUCCUGUCCUCCAGAGAGAGAGCCAGCAGACCUGGCAGCUCUGCAGCAAGCUGACUUGUCCUUCCAGUCUCAGUGCAGGGUGAAGCUGCUCUGGCUGCUGUACACAGUGCUGAUAGUGAAGAGUCUGGUGUACUGCUGUGGACUCCCUCUGCUGUGAAUCCUCAGAAACAAGGGACCGUCCACCGGCUGCACACAUGCUGACUGACUGCUUUCUGCUCGCCUUUUCUCACCAUCAGAUCUCAUCAAUUUAACUCAUUGGUCACUUUCUGCAGAAAUUACAAAUGUAAGUUAUGAUGUGCACAGGUUAGAUGUAGUAAUCCUAAAAAUAUAUACACAUACAUAUUUGCUGAGUGUAAGUUCUGUGUAUUUGUUAUUUUGAUGAUCUAGAUUAUUUCCAUUUGUGACUUAUAUAAAAAUAGAAAAUGAAGCUGAAUCAUUAGCUGUCUGCUAGAUUUUUUUGUUUUCAGUAUUUUUCUGUUCUUGUGUCUCUUUUUAAUACAUUAUGCAGAGUGUGGCAGGUUUGGCAAAUUAUUUCAGUCUUUCUCAAUAAAAAGAAAAAUCCCAGCGUCUGUGUUUUGUAAACAUCAUUGUUUGUACUGUUUUCAGUUUGCCUUCAUGGCAAAUAAUCAGAACCGAAACAGCCUAUAUGUUGACAGCUACAAGUCAUUUGACUCUGGUUGUAACUAGCUCUCAUCAGUCGGGCUGAAGUCUGAAUAUCGGCAACAUGAUGGCUGUUUUUAUUUCUUCUAAACCAAUAAAAUGCUGCUUAACUUUU